CAGAUCAACAUCAAAAGCUACAAACUGGAAACAGAGGAAGAUACUAGCCCCGUGUUUCUGAUUCAGUAUCACUGAAAUACUUUGGAACCAUAUAAAGGGCAAAGUACAUUCCACAUGUUGAAGGACAGUGCCUGGCCCUGUGGGGUGUCAUCCCCAAGCUGUAGGCAUAGUGGCAACCCAGGGGUUCAUCUCAACUCCCAUCAGAGUUCAAACAUUGAAUUAGUUGUGCAAUGGAAGGAGUAUUACCAGGACCCAGAUGCAGCCCAAGGAAAAAAGAAAACAAAAGGAGACACACACAGACACCAGAGCAUGAUGCAAGUGUGGCUUAAUCGGUGCUUGCACAUUGGGCUUGUUCUUUCCAAACCUGUUGCCCCGAUUCUGCAAGGCUAUCCUGCUGUAGAAGGAGGCCCUGGAGGACAAGACACCAUGUGGGGAAAACAGCCAUGGGGAGCAGAACCGAGGUAUCCCAGCUUAGCUCCCAACUGACAGCAGCCACAUGAGUGAGCAGAAAAACAACUUCCAAGGGUGAUUUAGCUACUGCUGCUGUGGAAUGUCAAAACUUUCAGCAAGGGAGCCCGAUGCAGAUCUGUUGAUAUGACACCAUUCCACAAGAAGACCAACUGAUGGCUUUGUGGCAAGUUGAC
Molecule: long non-coding RNA, 644 nt
Filed under: Homo sapiens (human)
Lineage: Eukaryota; Metazoa; Chordata; Mammalia; Primates; Hominidae
Description: non-protein coding LINC02522:4
Source: RNAcentral